GACGAACGCUGGCGGCGUGCUUAACACAUGCAAGUCGAACGAUGAAGCUGGAGCUUGCUCCAGUGGAUUAGUGGCGAACGGGUGAGUAACACGUGAGCAAUCUGCCCUUGACUCUGGGAUAACUGCGGGACACUGUAGCUAAUACCGGAUACGACACCUUGGGGCAUCCCGGCGUGUGGAAAGAAUUGCGGACAAGGAUGAGAUCGAGGCCUAUCAGCUUGUUGGUGAGGUAAAGGCUCACCAAGGGUACGACGGGUAGCCGGCCUGAGAGGGUGACCGGCCACACUGGAACUGAGACACUGUCCAGACUCCUACAGGAGGCAGCAGUGGGGAAUAUUGCACAAUGGGCGAAAGCCUGAUGCAGCAACGCCGCGUGAGGGAUGACGGCCUUCGGGUUGUAAACCUCUUUUAGCAGGGAAGAAGCGAAAGUGACGGUACCUGCAGAAAAAGCACCGGCUAACUACGUGCCAGCCGCCGCCGUAA
Molecule: ribosomal RNA, 483 nt
Filed under: uncultured bacterium
Lineage: Bacteria
Description: partial 16S ribosomal RNA
Rfam family: Bacterial small subunit ribosomal RNA
Source: RNAcentral